CAGCCGCCACGGUAAUACGAAGGGGGCUAGCGUUGUUCGGAAUUACUGGGCGUAAAGCGCACGUAGGCGGAUAUUUAAGUCAGGGGUGAAAUCCCGCAGCUCAACUGCGGAACUGCCUUUGAUACUGGGUAUCUUGAGUAUGGAAGAGGUUAGUGGAAUUGCGAGUGUAGAGGUGAAAUUCGUAGAUAUUCGCAAGAACACCAGUGGCGAAGGCGGCUCACUGGCCCGGUACUGACGCUGAGGUGCGAAAGCGUGGGGAGCAAACAGGAUUAGAUACCCGUGUAGUCCCUGUCUCUUAUAA
This 301-nucleotide ribosomal RNA is filed under the name uncultured bacterium. RNAcentral's name for it is "partial 16S ribosomal RNA". It matches the Rfam family "Bacterial small subunit ribosomal RNA", at positions 509 to 809 of the family's 1533-position model. The record is from RNAcentral.